AGUUUCUGAAAGGGAAGAUUAUUAUAAGAUAAGGGGUUUGCUCAUCUCAGACUUUAGUGUGCCUGCUUUAAAGUGUUUUGCAAACUUGAAUGUUUAAAGGAAUCACCUGGCGGUCUUGUGAAACUGCAGCUUCUAAUGGGCAAGUCAGAGGGGAAGCCUGAGACAUGGCAUUUCCAGCACGUUCGGGGAGUGAAGAUGCUGUCGGCUGCCACCCUCCCUGCAAGGAGCCAGGGGAUAGAUGACCUCUACGCAAACUGUGAGAGCUUAAAAUAACUGAUAGUGAAAAACAGUUACAGAAGCUCUAGGCCGGGCACGGUGGCUAAUGCCUGUAAUCCCAGCACUUUGGGAGGCCGAGGAGGAUGGAUUGCCAGAACUCAGGAGUUUGAGACCAGCCUGGGCAACACGAUUUCUGUUGUUCAAAGAAGUAAACUGCUGGGCACAGUGGCUCACGCCUGCAAUCCUACCACUUUGGGAGGCUGAGGCAAGCAGAUCACUUGAGAUCAGAAGUUUGAAACCAGCCUGGCCAACAUGAUGAAACCCCAUCUCUACUAAAAUAUAAAAAUUAGCCUCGCA
RNAcentral lists this long non-coding RNA (573 nucleotides) under Homo sapiens (human). RNAcentral's name for it is "HSALNT0399765". Lineage: Eukaryota; Metazoa; Chordata; Mammalia; Primates; Hominidae. The record is from RNAcentral.